UCGAGCUCGAGCAUCAGCCAUAAAACCCCCCUGGGGUGCUGGUGUAGGUGACGGAUGCGAAUUUCUUUGACUUAGCAGCUGAGUCAGUGUGGCGACCUGUUGUCUGAGCUCUUCAAAGGCUCCAGCAGUAACGACCGCCGGCUGGGGCUCUGGCACUUCUGAUGAUUCCUCUUGAGGAACAGGGAUAUCCUCAGGAGGGGGUUGGUUUGGAGCGGAGGAGCUUGCUGGUGGAAGACCUGAACGUGUGUUUACCAUGGCUUUUGGUAGCGUUUCCCACAGACGGCGCCAAUGAUGCUACCAAAAAUCGUACCUGCUGAUUUUUCGAGCUUGAUGACUGGUGAGGAGCACGAACGUGAUCUUCCGAUACCUGAAACAAAGGCAACGAGGUGUGUUCUCGUCGCCCCUCCGAUGCUUAAGUUAGAAAGGGAAAUAUAUGCGUGAGGCUAUGUGCUGAAGAACAAUGUAAAACGUACCUGAAUAAUG
RNAcentral lists this long non-coding RNA (483 nucleotides) under Olea europaea (common olive). RNAcentral describes it as "long non-coding RNA (OEUR_LNC009042)". Lineage: Eukaryota; Viridiplantae; Streptophyta; Magnoliopsida; Lamiales; Oleaceae. The record is from RNAcentral.